GUUAUAUGGUCAAGCGAAUAAGCGCACACGGUGGAUGCCUAGGCGGUCAGAGGCGAUGAAGGACGUGGUAGCCUGCGAAAAGUGUCGGGGAGCUGGCAACAAGCUUUGAUCCGGCAAUAUCCGAAUGGGGAAACCCACUGCUUCGGCAGUAUCCUGCAGUGAAUUCAUAGCUGCUGGAAGCGAACCCGGUGAACUGAAAUAUCUAAGUAACCGGAGGAAAAGAAAUCAACCGAGAUUCCCUAAGUAGUGACGAGCGAACGGGGAGCAGCCCUUAAGCUGGAAUGGCUUUAGAAAAACAAUCUGGAAAGAUUGGCCAUAGAAGGUGAUAGCCCUGUAUUUAAAAGGGCCACUCCAGUGAAGACGAGUAGGGCGGGGCACGUGAAACCCUGUCUGAAUAUGGGGGGACCAUCCUCCAAGGCUAAAUACUCCUGACCGACCGAUAGUGAACCAGUACCGUGAGGGAAAGGCGAAAAGAACCCCGGAGAGGGGAGUGAAAUAGAUCCUGAAACCGUGUGCGUACAAGCAGUAGGAGCUCGCAAGAGUGACUGCGUACCUUUUGUAUAAUGGGUCAGCGACUUACUGUUCGUGGCAAGCUUAACCGUAUAGGGGAGGCGAAGGGAAACCGAGUCUGACAAGGGCGCAUAGUCGCGGGCAGUAGACCCGAAACCGGGUGAUCUAGUCAUGGCCAGGGUGAAGGUGCCGUAACAGGUACUGGAGGCCCGAACCCACGUCUGUUGCAAAAGACGGGGAUGAGCUGUGAUUAGGAGUGAAAAGCUAAUCGAACCCGGAGAUAGCUGGUUCUCCUCGAAAGCUAUUUAGGUAGCGCCUCAUAUGUAUCCUCUCGGGGGUAGAGCACUGUUAUGGCUAGGGGGUCAUCGCGACUUACCAAACCAUUGCAAACUCCGAAUACCGAGACGGACUGUAUGGGAGACACACGGCGGGUGCUAACAUCCGUCGUGAAAAGGGAAACAACCCAGACCCACAGCUAAGGUCCCAAAUUCACUGCUAAGUGGAAAACGAUGUGGAAAGGCAUAGACAGCCAGGAGGUUGGCUUAGAAGCAGCCACCCUUUAAAGAAAGCGUAAUAGCUCACUGGUCGAGUCGGUCUGCGCGGAAGAUUUAACGGGGCUAAGCAGUGAACCGAAGCUUGGGGUGCAUAAAACUUGUUUUAUGCGCGGUAGAGGAGCGUUCCGUAAGCCUGCGAAGGUGGAUUGAGAAGUCUGCUGGAGGUAUCGGAAGUGCGAAUGCUGACAUGAGUAACGAUAAUGCGGGUGAAAAGCCCGCACGCCGAAAGCCCAAGGUUUCCUUGCGCAACGUUAAUCGACGCAGGGUUAGUCGGUCCCUAAGGCGAGGGCGAAAGCCGUAGUCGAUGGGAAGCAGGUUAAUAUUCCUGCACCUCGCGUGAGUGCGAUGGAGGGACGGAGAAGGUUAGGUGUACCGGGCGUUGGUUGUCCCGGGGAAAGGCGGUAGGUUUGGAUCUUUGGCAAAUCCGGGAUCCUUUAAGACCGAGCACCGAGACGAGCCUUUAUGGCGAAGUCACUGAUACCACGCUUCCAGGAAAAGCUCCUAAGCUUCAGCUCACGAAGACCGUACCGUAAACCGACACAGGUGGGUAGGAUGAGAAUUCUCAGGCGCUUGAGAGAACUCGGGUGAAGGAACUAGGCAACAUGGCACCGUAACUUCGGGAGAAGGUGCACCCUUUUUGGUGGCUCGUGCGAGCUAUAGCUGAAGAGGGUCGCAGAAACCAGGCCGCUGCGACUGUUUAUCAAAAACACAGCACUCUGCAAACACGAAAGUGGACGUAUAGGGUGUGACGCCUGCCCGGUGCUGGAAGGUUAAUUGAUGGGGUCAGCCGCAAGGCGAAGCUCUUGAUCGAAGCCCCAGUAAACGGCGGCCGUAACUAUAACGGUCCUAAGGUAGCGAAAUUCCUUGUCGGGUAAGUUCCGACCUGCACGAAUGGCGUAACGACAGCGGCGCUGUCUCCACCCGAGACUCAGUGAAAUUGAAAUCGCUGUGAAGAUGCAGCGUUCCCGUGGCAAGACGGAAAGACCCCGUGAACCUUUACUAUAGCUUUACACUGAACGUUGAGUUCGUCUGUGUAGGAUAGGUGGGAGGCUAUGAAACUGUGGCGCUAGCUGCAGUGGAGCCAUCCUUGAAAUACCACCCUGUCGUGCUUGACGUUCUAACCUAGGUCCGUUAUCCGGAUCAGGGACCGUGUAUGGUGGGUAGUUUGACUGGGGCGGUCUCCUCCUAAAGAGUAACGGAGGAGCACGAAGGUACGCUCAGCGCGGUCGGACAUCGCGCACUGUGUGCAAAGGCAUAAGCGUGCUUGACUGCAAGAUCGACGGAUCAAGCAGGUACGAAAGUAGGUCUUAGUGAUCCGGUGGUUCUGUAUGGAAGGGCCAUCGCUCAACGGAUAAAAGGUACUCCGGGGAUAACAGGCUGAUACCGCCCAAGAGUUCAUAUCGACGGCGGUGUUUGGCACCUCGAUGUCGGCUCAUCACAUCCUGGGGCUGUAGUCGGUCCCAAGGGUAUGGCUGUUCGCCAUUUAAAGUGGUACGCGAGCUGGGUUCAGAACGUCGUGAGACAGUUCGGUCCCUAUCUGCCAUGGGCGUUGGAAGUUUGAGAGGGGCUACUCCUAGUACGAGAGGACCGGAGUGGACGAACCUCUGGUGUUCCGGUUGUCACGCCAGUGGCAUUGCCGGGUAGCUAUGUUCGGAAGCGAUAACCGCUGAAAGCAUCUAAGCGGGAAGCGCGCCUCAAGAUGAGACUUCCCGGGGCACAAGCCCCCUAAAGGAACCAUGUAGACUACGUGGUUGAUAGGUCAGGUGUGUAAGUACAGCAAUGUAUUGAGCUAACUGAUACUAAUGAUCCGUGCGGCUUGACCAUAUAACCU
Molecule: ribosomal RNA, 2895 nt
Filed under: Xanthomonas euvesicatoria
Lineage: Bacteria; Pseudomonadati; Pseudomonadota; Gammaproteobacteria; Lysobacterales; Lysobacteraceae
Description: bacterial LSU rRNA
Rfam family: Bacterial large subunit ribosomal RNA
Source: RNAcentral